Molecule: long non-coding RNA, 1140 nt
Organism: Drosophila mojavensis
Lineage: Eukaryota; Metazoa; Arthropoda; Insecta; Diptera; Drosophilidae
Exons: 2
Source: RefSeq, a predicted model, not a curated record
CAUUCGAGAGAUAUCAUAUUCGAAAACUGUUGUCAACAAAUCUACUUGAACCAAUUCAAAUGAUUAUUAUCAACAUUAAACGUAUUAUCCAUUGAUUUUAAGAAAAAAAAGAAUAUGGGCCACUUUAUGGGGCUGCCAGAUGGAUCAGGCGAUGAUUAGUAUUAGGCAGUCGCUCACACCCGCCUGCAACAGCUUUAUCGGCCUUUCUUCUCACAAUCGCCAAUUCCAAUAUCUUCCUACACCUGUACGAUCCUAGAAUCGAUCUGCCUAAUUGAUGAACUUUAGCAAGACAUGUUUCAAGAGAACGGCUCUAUAUUAUUUGAAUUAUAUUGACAGAUCAAGCAAUCGGGUAGCCGUAGUCAAAUAGAGGAUCCAACUAGACUAGGGCUAGGCUGCCUGCUCUAGUGGGUAUACCCAGUUGCACUCUACUCUCGCGCCGGCAAAGUCAACUGUCGGCUGCGUGGCCGGGACACCUGUAUCAAAAUAUUAUUUCAUAUGCCGACGCUCGCACGUAAUUAGGACUCGACGCAAUCCGUGGACGCUCGAUAGCAGAACAAUGUGAAGGGCGGAGCGCGGUUGGAGGGGUUGCCUGCUGCUACUGGGUUGAUUGGUCGACCAAUUUAACUUUCGAGCUGUGGCUGCCAGCCAGAGAAACCGUCAAUAAGGCGACUAAUUAAAAAUCAAUCGCUGGCCCCUUUUAAUUGGGCCGCAUUCGGCUCGCUAUUAAUGGCCACGGCUGUGACUGCGACUACGGCUACGGUUGCGGCUACGGCCGUGCCCACCUCCGCCUGGCACGUGUCCUGCGCAAAUAUUGCCGCACGCUUUCGAUAGGGCAGCGGGGGAGGGGGACAAGGCGACAGCAAAAGCAAACUAAGUAAAGCGAUAGCAAAUCGUUUGAUUUUUUAUGCGUUUAUGUUUCAUAUUUAUUUAUGGCUUGUCCAACAAAUUACGCGCUUCAGUUGCACAAAAAGGCGGCCAACACGUGCCGCCCCCACCCCGCUCCUGCGCUCAGCAGAGAUUGACAUUUUUAAAACUGAACGAGUCUGCAGUGAGCGGAAAAUGGAUUUCUAAUAUUUGCCUUUAAAAACAUAUUACAUAAAGUAAGAAAAAAAAUAUGUAUAAAACGAUUUAUAUAUAGAC